CAGCCAUAGAAUACAAAUUUAUCUAGCCACAUGUUCAGAAAAGUGGUCUAUUCCUUUGCAUUGACAGGACCUGUUCUUCAGUACUUCUGAAUGUACCCUGACCAACCGCCGAUAGCACGAGUUUCUACCUUAGCACUGGGUUUGGUGUCGAACAGGUGGCUAUUAUCGGCAGUGGAUAUAUCUAAGCCGGUGAGCAUAAGUACAUCGGCAAGUGUAGGAGAAGCAGGGCCAUGGCCAAACACAAAAGCAUUAAGCGUGUCUGACCAAAAGUAUGAGGCAGCAAUUAGCAGUGACUCAUUCCUCUCCAUAUCGGCAAGAGACAAUCUAAUGCACUGGUCUAAUUUUUGCUCGCCCCACUGGACCUCAUUUGAAUGACUGACUCUCAGGAACCAAUCCUUCCAUCACUUGGUAGGGCUAGGCCAGGAACGGAAGGCGUCCUUCCAUAGAUCUAGGGAGAAAUUUUUGGCCCUAAAAGGAACUUUGUUUGUCUCUGUGUUUAUCAGAUCAGUGGGAUCUGAGUUUCCUAGCGGGCCAAGACAUUGGAGGUGAGGUUGAUCGGUAGGAAUAAUGAUCUUAUCGGCUAGACCCUAAAGGUUUGUGGGGAUAAAAGAAAGAACAAAAAAAAAGAAAAAGGAGUAUUCAGUAAAAGAAAUCGCGGAUGAACAGGAGUAUAGUAAAGAUGCAGAAAAGAAAGGUAGUGAACUGACCUCAGGCACGGUAAAGUUGAUGGCCAUUUUCUUGCGAGGAAGAAGAUCGGAGACUUGGGAGAUUGGUGAAGAAGGCCUUCGUUGAAGUUCUUGGAGUCCUCGGGUGGUGCCGCCGCCGUGAAAGUGGAUUUUAGGCUGUAGAAUGACAAGAUGGAGAAGGAGUACCCGAGAAGGAAGUAUUUAUAGGACAAAACGGGUAGGGGCAGAUCUGACUUAUCUCUUUGCCGCAUCCGUGAAAUCCGAGGGUGUUCAGGUGGAUAUGGUAACUGUUUGCACGGUAAUCAAGAGAUUGCGCAGGUGAUUUGACACCAAGCGGUCACGAUUUUGAAGAUAUUUCACUGUGCGGGAUCUCCUGGUCGGUCCAUCGGCAGUUCCCUCUAACGGUAAUAUUGCCGAUGGGCGCAUAAAGUGGAGAUAUCCCGUUCGGGAGGUUGAGGAGUUCAAGGAAUCUGCAGGAGAAUCAGGCCAAGGUUGUUCAGAUUUAACGGUCGGUUACCAAAUUGGGAGAGUUAAUUGCGGAAAGGCAUCAUUACUGCAGAGAAUUUUGGAGCAUUAAUAAUUUUAUACUCCGAAAUUGGGGGACAUGUGUUGACACCGUUUUUAGACACAUACCCGAGGAUC
Molecule: long non-coding RNA, 1328 nt
Filed under: Sorghum bicolor (sorghum)
Lineage: Eukaryota; Viridiplantae; Streptophyta; Magnoliopsida; Poales; Poaceae
Description: long non-coding RNA (SBIC_LNC010918)
Source: RNAcentral